UACGUAGGGUGCGAGCGUUAAUCGGAAUUACUGGGCGUAAAGCGUGCGCAGGCGGUUCGUUGUGUCGGCGGUGAAAGCCCCGGGCUCAACCUGGGAAUGGCCGUUGAAACUGGCGAACUGGAGUGUGGCAGAGGGGGGUGGAAUUCCGCGUGUAGCAGUGAAAUGCGUAGAGAUUGGGAAGAACACCUGUGGCGAAGGCGGCCCCCUGGUUGGAUACUGACGCUGAUACGCGAAAGCGUGGGGAGCAAACAGG
RNAcentral lists this ribosomal RNA (253 nucleotides) under uncultured bacterium. Its description in RNAcentral is "partial 16S ribosomal RNA". It matches the Rfam family "Bacterial small subunit ribosomal RNA", at positions 524 to 776 of the family's 1533-position model. The record is from RNAcentral.